RNAcentral lists this ribosomal RNA (484 nucleotides) under uncultured bacterium. RNAcentral's name for it is "partial 16S ribosomal RNA". It matches the Rfam family "Bacterial small subunit ribosomal RNA", at positions 29 to 507 of the family's 1533-position model. The record is from RNAcentral.
AUUGAACGCUGGCGGCAUGCUUUACACAUGCAAGUCGAACGGCAGCGCGGGCUUCGGCCUGGCGGCGAGUGGCGAACGGGUGAGUAAUACAUCGGAACGUGCCCAGUAGUGGGGGAUAGCUCGGCGAAAGCCGGAUUAAUACCGCAUACGACCUGAGGGUGAAAGCGGGGGAUCUUCGGACCUCGCGCUAUUGGAGCGGCCGAUGGCGGAUUAGCUAGUUGGUGGGGUAAAGGCCUACCAAGGCGACGAUCUGUAGCUGGUCUGAGAGGACGACCAGCCACACUGGGACUGAGACACGGCCCAGACUCCUACGGGAGGCAGCAGUGGGGAAUUUUGGACAAUGGGCGAAAGCCUGAUCCAGCAAUGCCGCGUGUGUGAUGAAGGCCUUCGGGUUGUAAAGCACUUUUGGCGGGAACGAAAAGGACUGUGCCAAUACCACGGUUCGAUGACGGUACCCGAAGAAUAAGCACCGGCUAACUACGUG